AUCCGGGUUGCGGACAGUGUCUGGUGGGUAGUUUGACUGGGGCGGUCUCCUCCUAAAGAGUAACGGAGGAGCACGAAGGUUAGCUAAUCCUGGUCGGACAUCAGGAGGUUAGUGCAAAGGCAUAAGCUAGCUUGACUGCGAGAGUGACGGCUCGAGCAGGUGCGAAAGCAGGUCUUAGUGAUCCGGUGGUUCUGAAUGGAAGGGCCAUCGCUCAACGGAUAAAAGGUACUCCGGGGAUAACAGGCUGAUACCGCCCAAGAGUUCAUAUCGACGGCGGUGUUUGGCACCUCGAUGUCGGCUCAUCACAUCCUGGGGCUGAAGUAGGUCCCAAGGGUAUGGCUGUUCGCCAUUUAAAGUGGUACGCGAGCUGGGUUUAGAACGUCGUGAGACAGUUCGGUCCCUAUCUGCCGUGGGCGCUGGAGAAUUGAGGGGGGCUGCUCCUAGUACGAGAGGACCGGAGUGGACGCAUCACUGGUGUUCGGGUUGUCAUGCCAAUGGCAUUGCCCGGUAGCUAAAUGCGGAAGAGAUAAGUGCUGAAAGCAUCUAAGCACGAAACUUGCCCCGAGAUGAGUUCUCCCUGACUCCUUGAGAGUCCUGAAGGAACGUU
Molecule: ribosomal RNA, 607 nt
Filed under: Citrobacter portucalensis
Lineage: Bacteria; Pseudomonadati; Pseudomonadota; Gammaproteobacteria; Enterobacterales; Enterobacteriaceae
Description: partial 23S ribosomal RNA
Rfam family: Bacterial large subunit ribosomal RNA
Source: RNAcentral